GGGGCUGUAGCUCAGUUGGGAGAGCGACUGUAUGGCAUACAGUAGGUAGUGGGUUCGAUUCCCAUCAGCUCCA
RNAcentral lists this transfer RNA (73 nucleotides) under Chloroflexota bacterium. RNAcentral's name for it is "Chloroflexi bacterium tRNA-Ala". It matches the Rfam family "tRNA". Rfam says of the family: Transfer RNA (tRNA) molecules are approximately 80 nucleotides in length. Their secondary structure includes four short double-helical elements and three loops (D, anti-codon, and T loops). The record is from RNAcentral. Lineage: Bacteria; Bacillati; Chloroflexota. RNAcentral also lists the same sequence under 1 other name.